AAUGAACGCUGGCGGCAUGCCUAACACAUGCAAGUCGAACGAAGGCUUCGGCCUUAGUGGCGCACGGGUGCGUAACGCGUGGGAAUCUGCCCUCAGGUUCGGAAUAACAGCGAGAAAUUGCUGCUAAUACCGUAUGAUAUCGCGAGAUCAAAGAUUUAUCGCCUGAGGAUGAGCCCGCGUAGGAUUAGCUAGUUGGUGUGGUAAAGGCGCACCAAGGCGACGAUCCUUAGCUGGUCUGAGAGGAUGAUCAGCCACACUGGGACUGGGACACGGCCCAGACUCCUACGGGAGGCAGCAGUGGGGAAUAUUGGACAAUGGGCGAAAGCCUGAUCCAGCAAUGCCGCGUGAGUGAUGAAGGCCUUAGGGUUGUAAAGCUCUUUUACCCGGGAUGAUAAUGACAGUACCGGGAGAAUAAGCUCCGGCUAACUCCGUGCCAGCAGCCGCAGUAA
This 449-nucleotide ribosomal RNA is filed under the name uncultured bacterium. RNAcentral describes it as "partial 16S ribosomal RNA". It matches the Rfam family "Bacterial small subunit ribosomal RNA", at positions 29 to 523 of the family's 1533-position model. The record is from RNAcentral.